This 67-nucleotide transfer RNA is filed under the name Ornithorhynchus anatinus (platypus). It matches the Rfam family "tRNA". From Rfam's summary of the family: Transfer RNA (tRNA) molecules are approximately 80 nucleotides in length. Their secondary structure includes four short double-helical elements and three loops (D, anti-codon, and T loops). The record is from Rfam by way of RNAcentral. Lineage: Eukaryota; Metazoa; Chordata; Mammalia; Monotremata; Ornithorhynchidae.
GGCAGUUUAGUGGAAAGAUCACGGGCCUGGGACUCAGAGGACCUGGGUUUUAAUCCCAGAUCUGCCA